GGGGUCACUAUAUCAGUAAUUCUGACUUUUGGUUCUGCUGCUGCCUUUGAUUUUCCUGUAAAGGCCUGUGUUUUUUUCAGUCUCCUGUUCUGUAAUUCGGCACCUCAGCAUGUGUUGAUAUGGGUGGUGGAUAAGCUAUGUAUUCAGGGCAGGCAAAAAGCUGUCAGCUAUCUGCAGUGUCCCAGAGUCUCUACUUGAUCUUAUGCUCUGACCUCUCCGUGACACUUGUCUGACUUUCCCCUUUGGGCCAAUGCCACCCCAUCAAAAAGGAGAGCUUAUGAGACCAUCUACAUGUAAGAACCAGGGGAAGAAAGAUAAGAGAGGAUAAUAGGAUGCACAGGACUUUGCAGGACACCUGGGCAGGAUCUUGCUGAGCUGAU
Long non-coding RNA from Protopterus annectens (West African lungfish), 380 nucleotides. RefSeq lists it as uncharacterized. The transcript has 3 exons. The record is from RefSeq and is a predicted model, not a curated record. Lineage: Eukaryota; Metazoa; Chordata; Ceratodontiformes; Protopteridae.